Molecule: long non-coding RNA, 970 nt
Organism: Solanum lycopersicum (tomato)
Lineage: Eukaryota; Viridiplantae; Streptophyta; Magnoliopsida; Solanales; Solanaceae
Source: RefSeq, a predicted model, not a curated record
CCCAGCUUUUAACUUGGCUUAAAAUAAGUUAUUUUGAGUAUUGCCAAACAGCUAAAUAAGUCAAAAAUCAGCUUUUAAGUCAGUUUGACUAGCUUUUAAGUUGAGCCAAACAGACUCUAAAUUAGUUUUCUUCAAUAUUUUUGGUUCAUGUAGGUUUUUCCUAUCGCUCUCAUAAGUUCCGCCGCGAGAAUUACAAUGUUACUUCAAGGAGAAGUGAUAGAAUUGAAAACUUGACGGAAAAAAUUUACCCAAGUCUCCAUUUUCUCAUAUGAGUUACUCAUUUGAGUUGAAGAUGGGGCACCUGGUCCACUCGUCUAAUGUGAGAGCUACUAGAUUGGAGGCUUCUCUGCCAUGGAUGAUUGAGGUUGUAAUUCUUACUGCACUUACCCCCCUCCGAGCUUCUAUUGAUGAUUUGGUUGCUAGAGUUACAACUUAUGAGAGAAGACAGGGGGAGUCUUCUGAGAUGACGACUUUUAAAGUUUAAGUUAUUCAUAUGAGAUAGGACGUGGACUAUUUAAAGUUAUUAACUUCACUUCCGUAUUGGAGGCUUCUGAUGAUGUUGAUGCCCCAGAGGCUUCUGUGAUUUCUCAAGGUACCACCGGAGACAUACAUAGGGAUGGAACGAUAGAGACCAAUGAAGAUCAGAUUGAGGUGAGAGAGGAUAGCAUUUACGGAGACCUUCCUGAUCGAGGAGACUGUUGUACAGUCCUUGAUCCAAACAUCGCUGACCGAGAUGUCCAUAGAAGCUCCUAGUGGAUCCGGUACUCCUAAUAAUGCACCGAGCACUGACGCUCAGACAAAUUGAGCGACUGAGUAAAUAAGAUCUAUCUUUAUCUCCCUUUCUGUCUUAUUUUUCUUGACUUCUAGAUAUUAUUUUUGUUUGCAUUUGAGGACAAACUAUUUUUAUAUAUGGUAGGGUGAGGCCCACCUUGUUUGACUAUUCUAAUGAAUAUAAACGGUUUUUGAGAUA